UUUUUUUAAACUCUUAUUAUUCUAUUACAUAUUGGUGAUGUUUUUGCCAUUAUUUUACACAUUGGUUCUGCUUGCUUGUUUGCUUAUCUUUCUGUUUAUGGCGUUUGUUUUGGGUUUUACCCUUGCGGUUGCUUGAAGGGGUAAAACAAACACCGACACAAAGAUCCCUUUCUUAGUUUCUAGUUUGUCUUUAGCUAACUUCCUAGUUUGGUAGUUCUUCUAAUAAUGCUAUACUAUCAAAUUAUUCAAUAACUUUAAUAAUAGUGGACAACAGUUACUAACCAUAUCAAUAAUUUAAUUUCAGUUUAACAAUGCAG
This 317-nucleotide long non-coding RNA is filed under the name Medicago truncatula (barrel medic). RNAcentral describes it as "long non-coding RNA (MTRU_LNC002820)". Lineage: Eukaryota; Viridiplantae; Streptophyta; Magnoliopsida; Fabales; Fabaceae. The record is from RNAcentral.